GGAAUCUUGCACAAUGGAGGAAACUCUGAUGCAGCGAUGCCGCGUGAGUGAAUAAGGCCUUUGGGUUGUAAAGCUCUUUUGUAGGGGAAGAUAAUGACUGUACCCUAAGAAUAAGGUCCGGCUAACUUCGUGCCAGCAGCCGCGGUAAUGCGAAGGGACCUAGCGUAGUUCGGAAUUACCGGGCGUAAAGCGCGCGUAGGCCGUUGAGUUAGUUAAUUGUGAAAUCCCAAAGCUUAACUUUGGAACUGCAAUUAAAACUGCUCGACUAGAGUUUGAUAGAGGAAAGCGGAAUACAUAAUGUAGAGGUGAAAUUCGUAGAUAUUAUGUAGAACACCAGUUGCGAAGGCGGCUUUCUGGAUCAACACUGACGCUGAGGCGCGAAAGUAUGGGUAGCAAAGAGGAUUAGAUACCCUCGUAGUCCAUACCAUAAACGAUGAUUGCUAGAUGUUGGAAAUUUAUUUUCAGUAUCGCAGCUAACGCAUUAAGCAAUCCGCCUGGGGAGUACGACCGCAAGGUUAAAACUCAAAUGAAUUGACGG
This 538-nucleotide ribosomal RNA is filed under the name uncultured bacterium. RNAcentral's name for it is "bacterial SSU rRNA". It matches the Rfam family "Bacterial small subunit ribosomal RNA", at positions 358 to 916 of the family's 1533-position model. The record is from RNAcentral.